CCGAACUGUUGACACGAGUUGUUGCUGGUCCCCACAUGGGGGCAUGUGCACGCUCUGUUUACACAUCCACUCACACCGUGUGCACCCUCUGUAGUUCUAUGGCCUGGGGGGCUCUGUCCUCUUGCCUUGGUUCUAUGUCUUUACAAUACACACCGUAACAAAGUCUUAUGGAAUGCAUGCCGCGUCUAACGCAAUACAAUA
Molecule: unclassified non-coding RNA, 201 nt
Filed under: uncultured Basidiomycota
Lineage: Eukaryota; Fungi; Basidiomycota
Description: sequence contains ITS1
Source: RNAcentral